Molecule: ribosomal RNA, 497 nt
Filed under: uncultured bacterium
Lineage: Bacteria
Description: partial 16S ribosomal RNA
Rfam family: Bacterial small subunit ribosomal RNA
Source: RNAcentral
GAUGAACGCUGGCGGCGUGCCUAAUACAUGCAAGUCGAGCGAACGGACGAGAAGCUUGCUUCUCUGAUGUUAGCGGCGGACGGGUGAGUAACACGUGGAUAACCUACCUAUAAGACUGGGAUAACUUCGGGAAACCGGAGCUAAUACCGGAUGAUAUUUUGAACCGCAUGGUUCAAAAGUGAAAGACGGUCUUGCUGUCACUUAUAGAUGGAUCCGCGCUGCAUUAGCUAGUUGGUAAGGUAACGGCUUACCAAGGCAACGAAGAAUAGCCGACCUGAGAGGCUGAUCGGCCACACUGGAACGGAGACACGGUCCAUACUCCUACGGGAGGCAGCAGUAGGGAAUCUUCCGCAAUGGGCGAAAGCCUGACGGAACAACGCCGCGUGAGUGAUGAAGGUCUUCGGAUCUUAAAACUCUGUUAUUAGGGAAGAACAUAUGUGUAAGUAACUGUGCACAUCUUGACGGUACCUAAUCAGAAAGCCACGGCUAACUACGUG